GACGAACGCUGGCGGCGUGCUUAACACAUGCAAGUCGAACGGAAAGGCCCUGCUUUUGUGGGGUGCUCGAGUGGCGAACGGGUGAGUAACACGUGAGUAACCUGCCCUUGACUUUGGGAUAACUUCAGGAAACUGGGGCUAAUACCGGAUAGGAGCUCCUGCUGCAUGGUGGGGGUUGGAAAGUUUCGGCGGUUGGGGAUGGACUCGCGGCUUAUCAGCUUGUUGGUGGGGUAGUGGCUUACCAAGGCUUUGACGGGUAGCCGGCCUGAGAGGGUGACCGGCCACAUGGGGACUGAGAGACGGCCCAGACUCCUACGGGAGGCAGCAGUGGGGAAUAUUGCACAAUGGGCGGAAGCCUGAUGCAGCAACGCCGCGUGCGUGAUGACGGCCUUCGGGUUGUAAACCGCUUUCGCCUGUGACGAAGCGUGAGUGACGGUAAUGGGUAAAGAAGCACCGGCUAACUACGUG
This 468-nucleotide ribosomal RNA is filed under the name uncultured bacterium. RNAcentral describes it as "partial 16S ribosomal RNA". It matches the Rfam family "Bacterial small subunit ribosomal RNA", at positions 28 to 507 of the family's 1533-position model. The record is from RNAcentral.